CUUUAGAUCACCUAAGUGAAGCAUCAUUGGGCGCGGCCAGUACUUGGGUGGGUGACCACCUGGGAACACCGCGUGCCGUU
Non-coding RNA from Caerostris darwini, 80 nucleotides. The record is from the annotation of a GenBank genome assembly. Lineage: Eukaryota; Metazoa; Arthropoda; Arachnida; Araneae; Araneidae.